RNAcentral lists this ribosomal RNA (253 nucleotides) under uncultured bacterium. RNAcentral's name for it is "partial 16S ribosomal RNA". It matches the Rfam family "Bacterial small subunit ribosomal RNA", at positions 524 to 776 of the family's 1533-position model. The record is from RNAcentral.
UACGUAGGGCGCAAGCGUUAUCCGGAAUUAUUGGGCGUAAAGAGCUUGUAGGCGGUUUGUCGCGUCUGCUGUGAAAAUCCGGGGCUCAACCCCGGACUUGCAGUGGGUACGGGCAGACUAGAGUGUGGUAGGGGAGACUGGAAUUCCUGGUGUAGCGGUGGAAUGCGCAGAUAUCAGGAGGAACACCGAUGGCGAAGGCAGGUCUCUGGGCAUGUCCUGACGCUGAGGAGCGAAAGUGUGGGGAGCGAACAGG